This 791-nucleotide ribosomal RNA is filed under the name uncultured Hyphomicrobiales bacterium. RNAcentral's name for it is "bacterial SSU rRNA". It matches the Rfam family "Bacterial small subunit ribosomal RNA", at positions 171 to 998 of the family's 1533-position model. Lineage: Bacteria; Pseudomonadati; Pseudomonadota; Alphaproteobacteria; Hyphomicrobiales. The record is from RNAcentral.
GUAUGUGCCCGAGAGGGGAAAGAUUUAUCGCCUUUGGAUCGGCCCGCGUNUGAUUAGCUAGUUGGUGGGGUAAUGGCCCACCAAGGCGACGGUCAGUAGCUGGUCUGAGAGGAUGGCCAGCCACACUGGGACAGAGACACGGCCCAGACUCCUACGGGAGGCAGCAGUGGGGAAUAUUGGACAAUGGGCGCAAGCCUGAUCCAGCCAUGCCGCGUGAGUGAUGAAGGCCUUAGGGUUGUAAAGCUCUUUCGCCAGGGACGAUAAUGACGGUACCUGGAUAAGAAGCCCCGGCUAACUUCGUGCCAGCAGCGGCGGUAAUACGAAGGGGGCUAGCGCUGUUCGGAAUCACUGGGCGUAAAGCGUAUGCAGGCGGAUCGUUAAGUCGGGGGUGAAAUCCUGAGGCUCAACCUCAGAACUGCCUUCGAUACUGACGAUCUUGAGUCCGGGAGAGGUGAGUGGAACUGCGAGUGUAGAGGUGAAAUUCGUAGAUAUUCGCAAGAACACCAGUGGCGAAGGCGGCUCACUGGCCCGGUACUGACGCUGAGAUACGAAAGCGUGGGGAGCAAACAGGAUUAGAUACCCUGGUAGUCCACGCCGUAAACGAUGGAUGCUAGCCGUCGGCAAGUUUACUUGUCGGUGGCGCAGCUAACGCAAUAAGCAUCCCGCCUGGGGAGUACGGUCGCAAGACUAAAACUCAAGGAAUCGACGGGGGCCCGCACAAGCGGUGGAGCAUGUGGUUCAAUUCGAAGCAACGCGAAGAACCUUACCAGGCCUUGACAUCCCGGUCGCGG